RNAcentral lists this ribosomal RNA (445 nucleotides) under uncultured bacterium. RNAcentral describes it as "partial 16S ribosomal RNA". It matches the Rfam family "Bacterial small subunit ribosomal RNA", at positions 354 to 796 of the family's 1533-position model. The record is from RNAcentral.
GUGAGGAAUAUUGGUCAAUGGGCGCAAGCCUGAACCAGCCAUGCCGCGUGCAGGAAGACGGUCCUAUGGAUUGUAAACUGCUUUUAUUUGGGAAUAAACUCCGGUACGUGUACCGGCCUGAAGGUACCAAAUGAAUAAGCACCGGCUAACUCCGUGCCAGCAGCCGCGGUAAUACGGAGGGUGCAAGCGUUAUCCGGAAUCAUUGGGUUUAAAGGGUCCGCAGGCGGUCUUAUAAGUCAGUGGUGAAAGCCUACAGCUCAACUGUAGAACUGCCGUUGAUACUGUAGGACUUGAAUUCGAUCGAAGUGGGCGGAAUGUGACAUGUAGCGGUGAAAUGCUUAGAGAUGUCACAGAACACCGAUAGCGAAGGCAGCUCACUAGGUCUGGAUUGACGCUCAGGGACGAAAGCGUGGGGAGCAAACAGGAUUAGAAACCCCUGUAGUCC